CCAAACUUGGUCAUUUAGAGGAAGUAAAAGUCGUAACAAGGUUUCCGUAGGUGAACCUGCGGAAGGAUCAUUACUGAAUAAAAUCUGGUUCGGUUGGGUUGUCGCUGGCCUCCUGGAGGCAUGUGCACACCCUACCACCACCUCAUUCAUCUAUCUAUACUUACCUGUGCACCUUCUUGUAGGAUCAGGAUUUGUAUCACUGUUUCUUCAAACCUCCCUCUAUUUGGAGGGAGGGGGGGGGAAAAAAAAAAAGUGUUUUGGAAUCUUUGCUGUGUUAUGCGUCCACGUCCGCGUGCAUGUUGACAGCUUUUCCUGGAUGCAUAAUUCCUGGCCCUAUGCGCUUUUUUAUAUAUGCACUUUGAACGCAUGUGAAUUAUAUUGUAAUAUGUAUUUGUAUACAACUUUCAACAACGGAUCUCUUGGCUCUCGCAUCGAUGAAGAACGCAGC
RNAcentral lists this unclassified non-coding RNA (448 nucleotides) under uncultured fungus. RNAcentral describes it as "partial contains small subunit ribosomal RNA, internal transcribed spacer 1, and 5.8S ribosomal RNA". The stretch from base 1 to 73 matches the Rfam family "Eukaryotic small subunit ribosomal RNA", at positions 1759 to 1831 of the family's 1831-position model. Lineage: Eukaryota; Fungi. The record is from RNAcentral.